This 889-nucleotide ribosomal RNA is filed under the name uncultured organism. RNAcentral's name for it is "bacterial SSU rRNA". It matches the Rfam family "Bacterial small subunit ribosomal RNA", at positions 582 to 1484 of the family's 1533-position model. The record is from RNAcentral.
AGUAAGUCAGUGGUGAAAGCCUGCAGCUCAACUGUGGACUGCCAAUUGAUACUGCUUUUUCGUGAGUUUGGUUGAGGUAGCCGGAAUGUGUAAUGUAGCGGUGAAAUGCUUAGAUAUUACACAGAACACCGAUUGCGAAGGCAGCUUACUAAACCGAUACUGACGCUGAUGCACGAAAGCGUGGGGAGCGAACAGGAUUAGAUACCCUGGUAGUCCACGCUGUAAACUAUGAUCACUCGCUGUUGGCAAUACAUCGUCAGCGGCUGAGCGAAAGCAUUAAGUGAUCCACCUGGGGAGUACGGUCGCAAGAUUGAAACUCAAAGGAAUUGACGGGGGCCCGCACAAGCGGUGGAACAUGUGGUUUAAUUCGAUGAUACGCGAGGAACCUUACCUGGGCUUAAAUGUAGACUGCAUUUCCGGGAAACCGGAAUUUCCUUCGGGACCGUCUACAAGGUGCUGCAUGGUUGUCGUCAGCUCGUGCCGUGAGGUGUCGGGUUAAGUCCCAUAACGAGCGCAACCCCUAUCGUUAGUUGCCAGCGAGUAAUGUCGGGGACUCUAGCGAAACUGCCGGUGUAAACCGAGAGGAAGGUGGGGAUGACGUCAAAUCAGCACGGCCCUUAUGUCCAGGGCUACACACGUGUUACAAUGGUCAGUACAAAGGGCAGCUACCUGGUGACAGGAUGCUAAUCUCGAAAACUGGUCUCAGUUCGGAUUGGAGUCUGCAAUCCGACUCCAUGAAGCUGGAAUCGCUAGUAAUCGCGCAUCAGCAACGGCGCGGUGAUACGUUCCCGGGCCUUGUACACACCGCCCGUCAAGCCAUGGAAGCUGGGGGUGCCUGAAGUCCGUAACCGAAAGGAUCGGCCUAGGGUAAACCGGUGACUGGGGCUAA